UUUUUAUGGACUGGCGGCGGCCUACACAUGCAAGUCUAGCGGAUGAAGAGAGCUUGCUCUCUGAUUCAGCGGCGGACGGGUGAGUAAUGCCUAGGAAUCUACCUGGUAGUGGGGGACAACGUCUCGAAAGGGACGCUAAUACCGCAUACGUCCUACGGGAGAAAGCAGGGGACCUUCGGGCCUUGCGCUAUCAGAUGAGCCUAGGUCGGAUUAGCUAGUUGGUGAGGUAAUGGCUCACCAAGGCGACGAUCCGUAACUGGUCUGAGAGGAUGAUCAGUCACACUGGAACUGAGACACGGUCCAGACUCCUACGGGAGGCAGCAGUGGGGAAUAUUGGACAAUGGGCGAAAGCCUGAUCCAGCCAUGCCGCGUGUGUGAAGAAGGUCUUCGGAUUGUAAAGCACUUUAAGUUGGGAGGAAGGGCAGUAAGCGAAUACCUUGCUGUUUUGACGUUACCGACAGAAUAAGCACCGGCUAACUCUGUGCCAGCAGCCGCGGUAAU
RNAcentral lists this ribosomal RNA (501 nucleotides) under uncultured bacterium. RNAcentral describes it as "bacterial SSU rRNA". It matches the Rfam family "Bacterial small subunit ribosomal RNA", at positions 36 to 524 of the family's 1533-position model. The record is from RNAcentral.